This 310-nucleotide unclassified non-coding RNA is filed under the name plant metagenome. Its description in RNAcentral is "partial contains 5.8S ribosomal RNA, internal transcribed spacer 2, and large subunit ribosomal RNA". The stretch from base 1 to 105 matches the Rfam family "5.8S ribosomal RNA", at positions 50 to 154 of the family's 154-position model. The record is from RNAcentral.
GAAAUGCGAUAAGUAGUGUGAAUUGCAGAAUUCAGUGAAUCAUCGAAUCUUUGAACGCACAUUGCGUCCCUUGGUAUUCCAUGGGGCAUGCCUGUUCGAGCGUCAUUUGUACCCUCAAGCUCUGCUUGGUGUUGGGUGUUUGUCCCCGUCUCCGCGCGUGGACUCGCCCCAAAGUGAUUGGCAGCCGGCGUACUGGUCCCGGAGCGCAGCACAUGUCGCGCAAACGAGUGCCUUGGUACGGCGGCGUCCAUAAGCCCCUCUCUCACGCUCUUGACCUCGGAUCAGGUAGGGAUACCCGCUGAACUUAAGC